UUAAAGUUUUAUUUUAACUUAAAAUUUCAGUUUAUUGUUAUUUAAUAUGUAUAUAUUAUAUUAAAAAUUUAUUUGCAGUUUUUAAUUUUAAAAAAUUAUUUAAGUAAGCUUUAGUAAUUAAUUAUAGAUUUAAUAAAAUUUGUGCCAGCAAUUGCGGUUAUACAAAUAAUUCAAUUGAAAUUUAUUGGUUAAUAAUUAAUUUUUUUUAAUUAAUUUAUUAUUAAAAUUUUUAAGUGAAAUUUAAAUUUUAAUAUAAUUUUUUUAUUUAUAUUUGAAGUUAUUAAAAUUAAUAUUAAACUAGGAUUAGAUACCCUAUUAUUAUAAUUGUAAAUUUUAAAUACCAGAUUAGUAUUAGUUGUUUUCUUAAAAAUUAAAAAAUUUGGCGGUAUUUUAGUCUAUUCAGAGGAACCUGUCCUGUAAUCGAUAAUCCACGAUUAGAAUUACUUUUUUUUUCUUGUAUAUCGUUGUUUUUGAAUAUUUUAGAAGAAUUAUAAUUUUCAAUAAGUAUAUUUUAGUUAAUUUCAGAUCAAGGUGCAGUUUAUAGAAAAGAAGAGAUGGGUUACAUUAAAUUUAUUUUUGGUUUAUUAUUUUGAAUAAUAUUAUUAAAUUGGAUUUGAUAGUAAUAUUUUAUAUAUUUAUUAUAUGAUUUUAGCUCUAAAAUGUGUACAUAUUGCCCGUCGCUCUCAUUUAUUUGAGAUAAGUCGUAACAAAGUAGAUUUACUGGAAAGUGAAUCUAGUAUUAG
Molecule: non-coding RNA, 743 nt
Filed under: Abscondita terminalis
Lineage: Eukaryota; Metazoa; Arthropoda; Insecta; Coleoptera; Lampyridae
Source: RNAcentral